This 228-nucleotide ribosomal RNA is filed under the name uncultured bacterium. RNAcentral's name for it is "partial 16S ribosomal RNA". It matches the Rfam family "Bacterial small subunit ribosomal RNA", at positions 103 to 334 of the family's 1533-position model. The record is from RNAcentral.
CGGGUGAGUAAUGCUUGGGAAUCUAGCUUAUGGAGGGGGAUAACUAUGGGAAACCGUAGCUAAUACCGCGUAGAAUCGGGAGAUGAAAGUGUGGGACCUUCGGGCCACAUGCCAUAGGAUGAGCCCAAGUGGGAUUAGGUAGUUGGUGAGGUAAAGGCUCACCAAGCCGACGAUCUCUAGCUGGUCUGAGAGGAUGACCAGCCACACUGGGACUGAGACACGGCCCAG